GUACAGCAGACAUUCACAUCGGACUCGGAUAUAGCUGGUUCUCCCCGAAAUAGCUUUAGGGCUAGCGUUGUGUUAGAUUACCGGAGGUAAAGCACUGAAUAGGCUAGGGGGCGAGAGUCUACCGACCCUUAUCAAACUCUGAAUGCCGGAUAAUUGAUGCACAGCAGUCAGACAGUGUGAGAUAAGUUUCAUUGUCAAAAGGGAAACAGCCCAGACCCACAGCUAAGGUCCCAAAUGUAUGUUAAGUGGAAAAGGAUGUCCAGUUGCACAAACAACCAGGAUGUUGGCUUAGAAGCAGCCACACAUUCAAAGAGUGCGUAACAGCUCACUGGUCGAGUGACCGGGCGCCGAAAAUGUAACGGGGCUAAACAUACAACCGAAGCUUGGGCUGCACAGCAAUGUGCGGGGUAGGGGAGCGUUGUGUGCGGGGAGAAGCACGAGCGGAAGCGCGUGUGGACUGCACAGAAGUGAGAAUGCCGGAAUGAGUAGCGCGAAUUAUGUGAGAAUCAUAAUGGCCGAAAGCCUAAGGUUUCUGGAGGAAGGUUCGUCCGCUCCAGGUUAGCCGGGAGCUAAGGUGAGGCCGAAAGGCGUAGCCGAUGCACAUACGGUGGAGAUUCCGUAGCCAUCAAAAGAUUUAAGCAGAGGGACACAGUAGAAGGGUACAUGCCGGGCGUUGGUAGCCCCGGUUGCAAGGGACCGAAAUUAGAGUAGGGAAGAUGGACUUGGAUACUGGCGAGAAAAGCUCUGUGGAUAUCUGCGAUGCCCGUACCGCAAACCGACACAGGUAGGUAGGAAGAGGAUUCUAAGGCCAACGGGAGAAGGGUUGUUAAGGAACUCGGCAAGUUGACCCCGUAACUUCGGGAGAAGGGGUGCUCUGGAAACAGAGCCGCAGAGAAUAGGUCCAGGCAACUGUUUAGCAAAAACACAGCUCUCUGCUAAAUCGAAAGAUGAUGUAUAGGGGGUGACGCCUGCCCGGUGCUGGAAGGUUAAGAGGAGGAGUGAGAGCCCCGAAUCGAAGCCCCAGUAAACGGCGGCCGUAACUAUAACGGUCCUAAGGUAGCGAAAUUCCUUGUCAGGUAAGUUCUGACCCGCACGAAAGGCGUAAUGAUCUGGACACUGUCUCAACAGCCCACCCGGCGAAAUUGUAGUACCGGUGAAGAUGCCGGUUACCCGCGACAAGACGGAAAGACCCCAUGGAGCUUUACUGCAGCCUAAUAUUGGAUUUCGGUAUUUCAUGUACAGGAUAGGUGGGAGACUGGGAAACACAGGCGUCAGCUUGUGCGGAGUCGCCCUUGGGAUACCA
RNAcentral lists this ribosomal RNA (1303 nucleotides) under metagenome. Its description in RNAcentral is "bacterial LSU rRNA". It matches the Rfam family "Bacterial large subunit ribosomal RNA", at positions 813 to 2202 of the family's 2925-position model. The record is from RNAcentral.